GAAUUCCGUGAAUCAUCGAAUCUUUGAACGCAUAUUGCACUCUUUGGUUCUCCAGAGAGUAUGCCUGUUUGAGUAUCAUUAAUCUCUCUUUCCCCACCAACGGGCGUGUGUGCUUACUCGCGCGCGCUCUGAGGUUGCGGCAAAGGACUUGAGCACUUCUGGCGCACUCUCCAAGCAGCUCGCUUGGGGGAACAUUCGGCGUCCAGUUGCUUGAAAUGAAGCGCGUGCUGUGCUUUGCCACAUUCACGACCGGCGUAUUUAGUUCUCCUCGGAGAUUCACUUUACGCCACCUCAGGUCUGGAUACCCGGCUUACAGUCGCGACAAUAUACUCGACAGAGGAGAGAAGGAGGAGGAGCAGCAGCGCUGCUACCCUUGCCUUGUAGGUGACGGGCAGCUCUUCACCCCCUCCCCCUCCCCUCCCCCUCUACCUUCUGAUCUCAAAUCAGGCAAGACUACCCGCUGAAUUUAA
RNAcentral lists this ribosomal RNA (470 nucleotides) under uncultured fungus. RNAcentral describes it as "eukaryotic LSU rRNA". The stretch from base 1 to 78 matches the Rfam family "5.8S ribosomal RNA", at positions 77 to 154 of the family's 154-position model. The record is from RNAcentral. Lineage: Eukaryota; Fungi.